Molecule: ribosomal RNA, 253 nt
Filed under: uncultured bacterium
Lineage: Bacteria
Description: partial 16S ribosomal RNA
Rfam family: Bacterial small subunit ribosomal RNA
Source: RNAcentral
UACGUAGGGGGCGAGCGUUAUCCGGAUUUACUGGGCGUAAAGCGCGUUAAGGCGGUUGGCAAAGUUGGUGGUGAAAUUUCAGGGCUCAACCCUGAAACUGCCUCCAAUACUGGUCGACUUGAGUGCGAGAGAGGAAGGUGGAAUUCCCGGUGUAGUAGUGAAAUGCGUAGAUAUCGGGAGGAACACCAGUGGCGAAGGCGGCCUUCUGGCUCGCAACUGACGCUGUAGCGCAAAAGCGUGGGGAGCGAACGGG